ACAGGCCUACCACAUGCAAGUCGAGCGGGGAAAGGUAGCUUGCUACCUGACCUAGCGGCGGACGGGUGAGUAAUGCUUAGGAAUCUGCCUAUUAGUGGGGGACAACAUUCCGAAAGGAAUGCUAAUACCGCAUACGCCCUACGGGGGAAAGCAGGGGAUCUUCNGACCUUGCGCUAAUAGAUGAGCCUAAGUCAGAUUAGCUAGUUGGUGGGGUAAAGGCCUACCAAGGCGACGAUCUGUAGCGGGUCUGAGAAGGAUGAUCCGCCUCACUGGGACUGAGACACCGCCCAGACUCCUACGGUAGGCACCAGUGGGGAAAUAUUGGACAAUGGGCGAAAGCCUGAUCCAGCCCUGCCGCGUGGGUUGAAGAAGGCCUUUUGGUUGUCAAGCACUUUAAGCCC
RNAcentral lists this ribosomal RNA (401 nucleotides) under uncultured bacterium. RNAcentral describes it as "bacterial SSU rRNA". It matches the Rfam family "Bacterial small subunit ribosomal RNA", at positions 42 to 442 of the family's 1533-position model. The record is from RNAcentral.